This 465-nucleotide ribosomal RNA is filed under the name Vreelandella stevensii. RNAcentral describes it as "partial 16S ribosomal RNA". It matches the Rfam family "Bacterial small subunit ribosomal RNA", at positions 338 to 795 of the family's 1533-position model. The record is from RNAcentral. Lineage: Bacteria; Pseudomonadati; Pseudomonadota; Gammaproteobacteria; Oceanospirillales; Halomonadaceae.
CCUACGGGCGGCUGCAGUGGGGAAUAUUGGACAAUGGGGGCUACCCUGAUCCAGCCAUGCCGCGUGUGUGAAGAAGGCCCUCGGGUUGUAAAGCACUUUCAGUGAGGAAGAACGCCUGGUGGUUAAUACCCAUCAGGAAAGACAUCACUCACAGAAGAAGCACCGGCUAACUCCGUGCCAGCAGCCGCGGUAAUACGGAGGGUGCGAGCGUUAAUCGGAAUUACUGGGCGUAAAGCGCGCGUAGGUGGCUUGAUAAGCCGGUUGUGAAAGCCCCGGGCUCAACCUGGGAACGGCAUCCGGAACUGUCAAGCUAGAGUGCAGGAGAGGAAGGUAGAAUUCCCGGUGUAGCGGUGAAAUGCGUAGAGAUCGGGAGGAAUACCAGUGGCGAAGGCGGCCUUCUGGACUGACACUGACACUGAGGUGCGAAAGCGUGGGUAGCAAACAGGAUUAGAUACCCGAGUAGUC